AUUGAACGCUGGCGGCAGGCCUAACACAUGCAAGUCGAGCGGUUGAAGGGAGCUUGCUCCUGGAUUCAGCGGCGGACGGGUGUGUAAUGCCUAGGAAUCUGCCUGGUCGUGCGUGGUAACGUCCGGAAACGGGCGCUAAUACCGCUUACGUCCUGCGGGUGUACGUGGGGGAUCUUCGGACCUCACGCUAUCAGAUGAGCCUAGGUCGGAUUAGCUAGUUGGUGGGGUAAAGGCCUACCAGGGCGACGAUCCGUAACUGGUCUGAGAGGAUGAUCAGUCACACUGGAACUGAGACACGGUCCAGACUCCUACGGGAGGCAGCAGGGGGGAAUAUUGGACAAUGGGCGAAAGCCUGAUCCAGCCAUGCCGCGUGUGUGAAGAAGGUCUUCGGAUUUUAAAGCACUUUAAGUUGGGAGGAAGGGCAGUAAGUUAAUACCUUGCUGUUUUGACGUUACCAACAGAAGAAGCACCGGCUAACUUCGUG
Molecule: ribosomal RNA, 484 nt
Filed under: uncultured bacterium
Lineage: Bacteria
Description: partial 16S ribosomal RNA
Rfam family: Bacterial small subunit ribosomal RNA
Source: RNAcentral